This 490-nucleotide ribosomal RNA is filed under the name uncultured bacterium. RNAcentral's name for it is "partial 16S ribosomal RNA". It matches the Rfam family "Bacterial small subunit ribosomal RNA", at positions 29 to 523 of the family's 1533-position model. The record is from RNAcentral.
AAUGAACGUUGGCGGCGUGGAUUAGGCAUGCAAGUCGAGCGCGAUGAGUUUGGUAGCUUGCUAUUGAACUCGGAAAGCGGCGAAAGGGAGAGUAACGCGUAGUUACGUGCCCCAGGGUUCGGAAUAGCCACGGGAAACUGUGGGUAAUGGCGAAUAACAUCCUCGGAUCAAAGGUGUGAUUCCGCCCUGGGAGCGGACUGCGUCCUACUAGCUAGUUGGCGGGGUAAUGGCCCACCAAGGCAACAAUGGGUAGCGGGUGUGAGAGCAUGACCCGUCUCACUGGGACUGAGACACUGCCCAGACACCUACGGGUGGCUGCAGUCGAGAAUCUUCGGCAAUGGGCGAAAGCCUGACCGAGCGACGCCGCGUGCGGGAUGAAGGCCCUCGGGUUGUAGACCGCUGUCGUAGGGGAGGAAGGCUCUGUGAAGAACAGGGUUUGACCUAUCCUAGGAGGAAGUACGGGCUAAGUUCGUGCCAGCAGCCGCAGUAA